Molecule: ribosomal RNA, 494 nt
Filed under: uncultured bacterium
Lineage: Bacteria
Description: partial 16S ribosomal RNA
Rfam family: Bacterial small subunit ribosomal RNA
Source: RNAcentral
GACGAACGCUGGCGGCGUGCUUAACACAUGCAAGUCGAACGGUGAAGCGCCUUCCUUUUUGGUGGGUGUGGAUGAGUGGCGAACGGGUGAGUAACACGUGAGUAACUUGCCCCCUUCUUCUGGAUAACCGCAUGAAAGUGUGGCUAAUACGGGAUAUUCUGGGUCUGUCGCAUGAUGGGUCUGGGAAAGAUAUUGUUUCGGUGGGGGAUGGGCUCGCGGCCUAUCAGCUUGUUGGUGGGGUGAUGGCCUACCAAGGCGGUGACGGGUAGCCGGCCUGAGAGGGUGGACGGUCACACUGGGGCUGAGACACGGCCCAGACUCCUACGGGAGGCAGCAGUGGGGAAUAUUGCACAAUGGGCGCAAGCCUGAUGCAGCGACGCCGCGUGAGGGAUGGAGGCCUGCGGGUUGUGAACCUCUUUCGCCAGUGAAGCAGGCCUGCCUCGUUUGUGGGUGGGUUGACGGUAGCUGGAUAAGAAGCGCCGGCUAACUACGUG